Molecule: non-coding RNA, 474 nt
Organism: Canis lupus familiaris (dog)
Lineage: Eukaryota; Metazoa; Chordata; Mammalia; Carnivora; Canidae
Source: the annotation of a RefSeq genome assembly
AUGGCCUGGUCCCCUCUCCUCCUCACACUCCUCGCUCACUGCACAGCGUCCUGGGCCCAGGCUGUGCUGACUCCGCUGCCCUCAGUGUCUGCGGCCCUGGGACAGACGGUCACCAUCUCUUGUACUGGAAAUAGCACCCAAAUCAGCAGUGGUUAUGCUGUACAAUGGUACCAGCAGCUCCCAGGAAAGUCCCCUGAAACUAUCAUCUAUGGUGAUAGCAAUCGACCCUCGGGGGUCCCAGAUCGAUUCUCUGGCUUCAGCUCUGGCAAUUCAGCCACACUGGCCAUCACUGGGCUCCAGGAUGAGGACGAGGCUGAUUAUUACUGCCAGUCCUUAGAUGACAACCUCAAUGGUCACACAGUGCUCUGGGCCAGGGAGGAAGUGAAACACAAACCUGCUCUCCCCCCAGAAAUGAAUUUUGCUUUGCAACACCCAUUGUUUGGCCAAUUCAGCUUCACCCUUUGUUUGGUGUAA